GAUGAACGCUGGCGGCGUGCCUAAUACAUGCAAGUCGAGCGAACAGAUGAGGAGCUUGCUCCUCUGACGUUAGCGGCGGACGGGUGAGUAACACGUGGAUAACCUACCUAUAAGACUGGGAUAACUUCGGGAAACCGGAGCUAAUACCGGAUAAUAUAUUGAACCGCAGGGUUCAAUAGUGAAAGACGGUUUUGCUGUCACUUAUAGAUGGAUCCGCGCCGCAUUAGCUAGUUGGUAAGGUAACGGCUUACCAAGGCAACGAUGCGUAGCCGACCUGAGAGGGUGAUCGGCCACACUGGAACUGGGACACGGUCCAGACUCCUACGGGAGGCAGCAGUAGGGAAUCUUCCGCAAUGGGCGAAAGCCUGACGGAGCAACGCCGCGUGAGUGAUGAAGGUCUUCGGAUCGUAAAACUCUGUUAUUAGGGAAGAACAAAUGUGUAAGUAACUAUGCACGUCUUGACGGUACCUAAUCAGAAAGCCACGGCUAACUACGUG
RNAcentral lists this ribosomal RNA (497 nucleotides) under uncultured bacterium. RNAcentral's name for it is "partial 16S ribosomal RNA". It matches the Rfam family "Bacterial small subunit ribosomal RNA", at positions 28 to 507 of the family's 1533-position model. The record is from RNAcentral.